GUUGUCGUGGCCGAGUGGUUAAGGCGAUGGACUAGAAGUCCAUUGGUGUUGUCCUGCGCAGGUUCAAAUCCUGCCGAGUACG
This 82-nucleotide transfer RNA is filed under the name Danionella translucida. It matches the Rfam family "tRNA". From Rfam's summary of the family: Transfer RNA (tRNA) molecules are approximately 80 nucleotides in length. Their secondary structure includes four short double-helical elements and three loops (D, anti-codon, and T loops). Further hydrogen bonds mediate the characteristic L-shaped molecular structure. tRNAs have two regions of fundamental functional importance: the anti-codon, which is responsible for specific mRNA codon recognition, and the 3' end, to which the tRNAs corresponding amino acid is attached (by aminoacyl-tRNA synthetases). tRNAs cope with the degeneracy of the genetic code in two manners: having more than one tRNA (with a specific anti-codon) for a particular amino acid; and 'wobble' base-pairing, i.e. permitting non-standard base-pairing at the 3rd anti-codon position. The record is from Rfam by way of RNAcentral. RNAcentral also lists the same sequence under 1 other name. Lineage: Eukaryota; Metazoa; Chordata; Actinopteri; Cypriniformes; Danionidae.